UUUCCGUAGGUGAACCUGCGGAAGGAUCAUUAUUGUAUAACCGAGGUGCAAGGGCUGUCGCUGACCCGAAAGGUCGUGCACGCCCGAGUGCCCUCACACACAUCCAUCUCACCCCUAUGUGCACCACCGCGUGGGUCCCCCUUUGGCUUGUUCGGAGGGGGGCUUACGCUUUCACACAAACUUUGUAUGCAGUGUAGAAUGUAUUUUUUGUUUUUGCGAUCACGCAAUCAAUACAACUUUCAACAACGGAUCUCUUGGCUCUC
Molecule: unclassified non-coding RNA, 263 nt
Filed under: plant metagenome
Description: partial contains small subunit ribosomal RNA, internal transcribed spacer 1, and 5.8S ribosomal RNA
Source: RNAcentral